Molecule: ribosomal RNA, 408 nt
Filed under: Fusobacteriota bacterium
Lineage: Bacteria; Fusobacteriati; Fusobacteriota
Description: Fusobacteria bacterium partial 16S ribosomal RNA
Rfam family: Bacterial small subunit ribosomal RNA
Source: RNAcentral
UGGGGAAUAUUGCACAAUGGACGGAAGUCUGAUGCAGCAACGCCGCGUGCGGGAUGACGGCCUUCGGGUUGUAAACCGCUUUUUCUCACGACGAAGUUUUUUGACGGUAGUGGGGGAAGAAGCACCGGCUAACUACGUGCCAGCAGCCGCGGUGAUACGUAGGGUGCGAGCGUUGUCCGGAAUUAUUGGGCGUAAAGAGCUUGUAGGCGGUUUGUCGCGUCGAUAGUGCAAACUCAGUGCUUAACGCUGAGCCUGCUGUUGAUACGGGCAGACUAGAGGAAGGUAGGGGAGAAUGGAAUUCCCGGUGGAGCGGUGGAAUGCGCAGAUAUCGGGAGGAACACCGGUGGCGAAGGCGGUUCUCUGGGCCUUUCCUGACGCUGAGAAGCGAAAGCGUGGGGAGCGAACAGG